UACGAAGGGGGCUAGCGUUGCUCGGAAUCACUGGGCGUAAAGCGCUCGUAGGCGGAUUGUUAAGUCGGGGGUGAAAUCCUGGAGCUCAACUCCAGAACUGCCUUCGAUACUGGCAAUCUUGAGUCCGGGAGAGGUGAGUGGAACUCCGAGUGUAGAGGUGAAAUUCGUAGAUAUUCGGAAGAACACCAGUGGCGAAGGCGGCUCACUGGCCCGGUACUGACGCUGAGACGCGAAAGCGUGGGGAGCGAACAGG
This 253-nucleotide ribosomal RNA is filed under the name uncultured bacterium. RNAcentral's name for it is "partial 16S ribosomal RNA". It matches the Rfam family "Bacterial small subunit ribosomal RNA", at positions 524 to 776 of the family's 1533-position model. The record is from RNAcentral.